UACGAACUGUGCGAACGUUAUUCGGAAUCACUGGGCUUACAGGGUGCGUAGGCGGCUCAACAAGUCAGGUGUGAAAGCCCCCGGCUCAACCGGGGAACUGCGCUUGAAACUGUUAGGCUCGAGUGAGCUAGAGGUACACGGAACUUCCAGUGGAGCGGUGAAAUGUGUUGAUAUUGGAAGGAACACCGGAGGCGAAAGCGGUGUACUGGGGCUGGUCUGACGCUGAGGCACGAAAGCCAGGGGAGCGAACGGG
This 253-nucleotide ribosomal RNA is filed under the name uncultured bacterium. RNAcentral's name for it is "partial 16S ribosomal RNA". It matches the Rfam family "Bacterial small subunit ribosomal RNA", at positions 524 to 776 of the family's 1533-position model. The record is from RNAcentral.